This 21-nucleotide microRNA is filed under the name Physcomitrium patens. RNAcentral describes it as "ppt-miR1058". The record is from miRBase by way of RNAcentral. Lineage: Eukaryota; Viridiplantae; Streptophyta; Bryopsida; Funariales; Funariaceae.
AGAGAUUCCAUCACGAAGCAC